Molecule: unclassified non-coding RNA, 405 nt
Filed under: Anneissia japonica
Lineage: Eukaryota; Metazoa; Echinodermata; Crinoidea; Comatulida; Comatulidae
Description: uncharacterized LOC117104954, transcript variant X2
Source: RNAcentral
GGCAGUUAUUACUUUCCUGUGCGAAUUAAGUACAGCGUGUCACUUAUCUGAUAUUUCCAGCACUUUUAUAUCAAUAGACCAAGUGCCCUUAGUGAUUUCCAAGCAACGCACAGUUUACUGUUUCAAUUGUUUGCCCACGAAUCACGAAGUCCAGUAAAAAAUUUAAUGAAUAGAGAGUUGAAGUUCAACAAUCAUUACGUUGCACUACAGUGCUCAAAACCAGCAAUUCCCCGUGGGAUAUAUCUAUAACCGAAAGCGUACCACUUACCUUUUUAUGAUGGUUUCUACUGUAUGCAGUGGUGCUGGUGAAUGGAGUGUGGAGUUAAUAACUGAGUGAAACUUAUGGCCUAUUAAAUGGCGGGACCGAAUUACCACACAACCAACCACAACGACCAUCAUGUGUUA